AUUGAACGCUGGCGGCAGGCCUAACACAUGCAAGUCGAGCGGAUGAAGGGAGCUUGCUCCUGGAUUCAGCGGCGGACGGGUGAGUAAUGCCUAGGAAUCUGCCUGGUAGUGGGGGAUAACGUCCGGAAACGGGCGCUAAUACCGCAUGCGUCCUGAGGGAGAAAGUGGGGGAUCUUCGGACCUCACGCUAUCAGAUGAGCCUAGGUCGGAUUAGCUAGUUGGUGGGGUAAAGGCCUACCAAGGCGACGAUCCGUAACUGGUCUGAGAGGAUGAUCAGUCACACUGGAACUGAGACACGGUCCAGGCUCCUAAGGGAGGCAGAAGUGGGGAAUAUUGGACAAUGGGCGAAAGCCUGCUCCAGACAUGCAGCGUGUGUGAAGAAGGUCUUCGGAUUGGAAAGCACUUUAAGUUGGGAGGAAGGGCAGUAAGUUAAUACCUUGCUGUUGUGACGUUACCAGCAGAAUAAGCACCGGCUAACUACGUG
This 484-nucleotide ribosomal RNA is filed under the name uncultured bacterium. RNAcentral describes it as "partial 16S ribosomal RNA". It matches the Rfam family "Bacterial small subunit ribosomal RNA", at positions 30 to 507 of the family's 1533-position model. The record is from RNAcentral.